GUGCCAGCAGCCGCGGUAAGACGGGGGGGGCUAGUGUUAUUCGGAAUGACUAGGCGUAAAGGGCACGUAGGCGGUGAAUCCGGUUGAAAGUGAAAGUCGCCAGCUCAACUGGCGGAAUGCUUUCAAAACCAAUUCACUUGAGUAAGAUAGAGGAUAGUGGAAUUUCGUGUGUAGAGAUAAAAUUCACAGAUAUACGAAGGAACACCAAAAGCGAAGGCAGCUUUCUGGGUCUCUACUGACGCUGAGGUGCGAAAGCAUAGGGAGCAAACAGGAUUAGAUACCCUGGUAGUCC
Molecule: ribosomal RNA, 292 nt
Filed under: uncultured bacterium
Lineage: Bacteria
Description: partial 16S ribosomal RNA
Rfam family: Bacterial small subunit ribosomal RNA
Source: RNAcentral